RNAcentral lists this ribosomal RNA (800 nucleotides) under uncultured archaeon. RNAcentral's name for it is "bacterial SSU rRNA". It matches the Rfam family "Archaeal small subunit ribosomal RNA", at positions 102 to 903 of the family's 1478-position model. The record is from RNAcentral.
CGAUAAUUUGCCCUUAGGUCUGGGAUAGAGUUGGGAAACUGACUGUAAUACCGGAUAGAAGAUUGAUACUGGAAUGUGCUUUCUUCUAAAGAUUUAUCGCCUAAGGAUAAGUCGGCGGCUGAUUAGGUUGUUGGUGAGGUAAAGGCUCACCAAGCCGACGAUCAGUAGGGGGGAUGAGAGUCCUAGCCUCGAGAAGGGCACUGAGACACUGGCCCUAGCCCUAAGGGGUGCAGCAGGCGCGAAACCUUUACAAUGCACGAAAGUGUGAUAAGGGAAUCCCGAGUGCUUUGCUUUCGGGUAAAGCUUUUGUUAAGUGUAAAAAGCUUGGCGAAUAAGUGGUGGGUAAGACGGGUGCCAGCCGCCGCGGUAACACCUGCGCCACAAGUGGCAAUCAUGUUUAUUGGGCCUAAAGCGUUCGUAGCCGGUCUGAUAAGUUCUUUGUGAAAUUGAUGGGCUUAACCCAUCAACGUGCAAGGAGUACUGUUAGACUAGGGACCGGGAGGAGGUAGGAGUACCCCAUGGGGAGCGGUAAAAUGUUGUAAUCCUCGGGGGACUACCAGUGGCGAAGGCGCCUACCCAGAACGGCUCUGACGGUGAGGAACGAAGGCUAGGGGAGCAAAACGGAUUAGAUACCCGAGUAGUCCUAGCAGUAAACGCUGUGAGCUAUGUGUUGUGCAUUCCUCGAGGAUGUGCAGUGCCUAAGUGAAGAUGUUAAGCUCACCACCUGGGAAGUACGGUCGCAAGGCUGAAACUUAAAGGAAUAGGCGGGGGCUCGCUACAAGGAGUGAAGAGUGCGGUUU